This 645-nucleotide long non-coding RNA is filed under the name Daucus carota (carrot). Its description in RNAcentral is "long non-coding RNA (DCAR_LNC002017)". Lineage: Eukaryota; Viridiplantae; Streptophyta; Magnoliopsida; Apiales; Apiaceae. The record is from RNAcentral.
GUAAGUCUAAAUGUAAAGACAACUCUAUCUGUUACAUAGGGAUGAUAACUCAACAAUAGAACAGGACAAGUAAAUAACACUACGCCUGCACCGGAAUCGGAAGAUACGAAGACAAAGGUUGAAGAAGCCAUCUACAUUCUUGAAGGAAUAAGUUCACUGGAAGAAGUUCAUUAAUAUGUUCAUGCCUCAGUGAAGAAUAAAGAUUGAAGUAUUCAAGAUUGUGGAAGCAAUGAAGAUGUUGUCCAAGUACUCGAAAGAUUUCAGUGCAACCCCUGAAGCAAGAUAUUUCUAUAUAUCUUGGUUGGUUAUUUAUAAUCAACAAACUGAAGCAUAAACUAACCCGGAACCGACUGAUCAAUGUUUGCUGACAAAGACGGUACAAUGUUUAACUUCAGUGUUAGUCGCUUGUGAACCAGACCAGUGCACUAAGCGUCAGCACGUACGGAGUUUGCAAAGUAUUUAUCAAUCGAAGAAUUGAUCAAGUCAUAACAAGUCAUUUGUUCCAAAGCCAAGCCAAGCCAAAUGCCUAGCCUCUGCAAGCUGUAUCAAGUCUACUGCUCAAAUGUCAUAUGUCAAGCUUCCACAGAAAGCCAUAUCAGGAAGUGACCUAUCUUUUAUAUGUGUGCACUUAUAUAUUUGUAUAUG